GGUUUUGCUGCUCUGGGUCAAACACAGCUGAUCUUGCUCCACUCAGCUGGCCAAUCAGCUGAAGGCUGGCUGGGCUAGAGUAGCCUGGCUGGCAGCUGGGGCACUGGAGUUGACAGAGUUGACAAGGACCAUCAGUCUCUUGUUAUCCAACAGGCUGACUCAGGCUUGUUCUCAGGUGGCUGAACAGAGUUUCAGGAGUGCAAGCAGACAUGCAUGAGGCUCAGAACCGGCAUGCCAUCACUUCCUUACCAUUCUGUGAGACAAAGCAAGUGGCAAGGCCUUGACAAGUCAAGGAGUGGGAAAGAAGCCUCCACCUCUUGAUGGAAGGAGCUGCAUCAUAUUGCAAGCGGUGUGGGGCACUGGAAGGGGGAGAAUGGGGGAUGAAUUAUGCUAACCUCUACUUCUGUUAUCACAUGACAUCCUCCCCUGUGUAUCUCUCUAUGCCUUCUCUUCUUGUAAGGACAUCAGUCAUUGGAUUUGGGGCCCACUCUAAAUCCAGGAUGAUUUCAUCUGAAGAUUCUUAACUGAUUAUACCUCCAAAGACCCUAUUUCCAAAUAAGGUCUUGUUCUGACAUUCUGGGUGGACACUAGGAGGUUGCAUAGUCUCCUCCCAAAAUUCACCCAGAAUUUUGGGAAGACCACUUUGCAACCUACUACAGAGGCUUAAAUAAAACAAGAAAGUUAUUUUGCUCCCGUAAUAAGAAAUCCAGCAAGAAAGGGCCAUUGGCAUGGUGGCCCAGUGUCCCAGGAUGUCCGAGCUGACCUGUCUGACAUUCCCCUGGCCUUCACCUAAAGGCUGCUCUGGGUCCAUCCCUCAUGUCCACAGGAAGGAGGUGGGGGAAGAAGGACAGUGUCUGCUGUCUGUGACCCUUUGUAUCAGAAAAGCAAACUUUUUCCAAGAAACCUCACGUUAGAUUUGUCCUCAAAUCUUGUUGAUUAGAGCUAGUUAUAAGGCCACCCCAACUGCGAGAGAGUCUGAGAAAUUAAGACACAUGAUGAGACACAGAAUGAUCAUGAAUGACCUAAACCAAUCGUGAGCCAUUGUUUGUGCUUGACUUAUGACCAUGUUGAAAAAAACUGGGUCUGUUAGUAAAGAAGCAGGAAGUGGGUCUCAUGUCCUGCCAGUGUCUGCCACCUGCAAUCUCUUCUGAAUUCAGUCCAUACGAGUCUGUUUCUGAGAGCCUGCAAAGACCCUGUUUCCAAACAAGGUCUUGUUCUGAGAUUCUGGGUGAACGUGAAUUUUGGGAGGACACUUUUUGGCCUGCUACAGAGGCUUGAAUGUUCUGACGAAAUCUAGUUUUUGACCUUGAAUAGAGUAGCCCCACCAAGAGAAUACAACCCACAAGAAAUGCCUCUUCUUUCCAACCACUCUAGAGCAGGAUUGUCAACCAGAGCUGACUGUGUCUCCCAGGGCACAUGUGGCCACGUCUGGAGACGCUUUGGAUUGUCACGACUAGGGGUAGUUGCUGGGCCCCAGCGUCAAGCACAUACAGGUGACAAAUUCCGUCUCUGAGUGAGGGCCCAAAGAAGCUCUCAGCUCAAUAAACGGAGAUGUGUGUGAUGUACACACAUGUGCAGGGUACUAGUGGGAGACAGGGCAAGGGAACCUAGAGGUGUUGCUGGACUGAUCCUAGAAGAUGCAGAGUAUUAGCCUAACAGAGGAAGGACAUUCCAGGAUGAGAAAUGUCUGGAGACACAGCCCUGAGGACAGAAAUUCCCCAGGGCUCUCAGUGGCCAGGGGCCAAGCAUGGCAGCAGAAAUCCAAUGUGAGGCUGUUGGCCAAAGCCAGGCACAGGAAGGGUGUGCCAUGGUCAGCACUUUUGGGGGUACCAUUAAAAGAUGUACCCCAAAGAGGGGUAUGGUCUAACAUGCGUUUUAAGAAAAGUUCACUUUGUCUUAACAGAUGGAAUUAUGAGAGGCCAAGAUUGAAGAUGGAGGUAAAGGUUGGGGGGAUGGCCUUUUGAGAGAAAUAGAAAAUCAGUAAUGGGCACAGUAUUAGGUAUGCAAAGGAUUAUUUAGGAGAAAAUAAAUUAGGGUCAGUUAUUGUAGUUGCUAUAAGAAGCGAUCUCAAAUCAGAGUGGCAUCACAUGUUAAGAGUUUAUUUCUUAUUCACUUCCCAGUCCACUGUGGGCCUGCAUGGGGCCUGGGGUAUGGGGAAGGAGAACUCUGCUCCACACAGUCAUUCAGGAAUCCUGGCUCUUUCAGGCAGAAGUUCUGCCAUUCCCUUGGGCCCUGGAGUUUUCAGCUAGUUCUCUGCAGAGGGCCAGCAAAGGGGUGAGGGGAAGAAAUAGGAUGGAGCAUCCUGCAGGAGGUUUAGGGUCCAGGUCUGGGGGGUGGCCAGCACAUCACUCACAUGCAUAUUUUGGUGGCCAGAACUCAGACAUGUGGCCCCAUCUAACUUGAGGGAGGCUGGACUAUAUAGUCCAGCUGAGAGCCCAGAACAAAAAGGAACUGGGUCUGGCAAACACAGCACACUGACUUUGCCACAACAUGUUUCGGAGGUAAAAUCUUUGGGGGCUCAGUAAUUGAUUCAACGUGGAAGAAGGAGAGAGGAAAGUUCAGAGAGCUUCCAGGUUUCCACCAGGGAGGUCGGAACAGGUUGCCUUAGAUGGUGACCGCAGGAGCCACUGCCUGAGCAAGGAAGAUGGUGCAUUCAUUUUAAAAUCGCUGUGUAGCUUAACAUUCACUGCCCGUAUUAACAUGUGUCCUGCAUUCCAUUUAUUGGAGAAAUGUUUCUUUUUCUUUAUUUUUUAAAUGAAUAUAAUUUACAAUGUAAAAGGUCAAAUAAAAUGAAAGUGAAACAGAAAAAUCCUCACUUUUCAAUAUUCCUUUCUCAUCUAAUGAAGACCCCUUCCCUUCUCUAUUUCUCCCGGCUCCCUGCCUUAGGCCUAAAGCAACAACCAGAAGCCUUCCUGGGUGUUUACAUUACAGCACACCAGACUGCAGGCACCGCCACCCCAGACUCUGCCUGCAGCUAAAGUCACCAAGUUUGCCGUGCCCCAUAACUGAGGUCAUUGGCAGCCCAGCACCAAGCCUCACUGGCAUCAAGGGCAGCGGGUUAGUAAGCAUGGCUCCACACGGGUAAGCAGUUCUAGGAAAUGGGAAGAAACCCAGACCAUCCAUCUCAGGGUAAGUUUGCUGGAUUUUCUCUCUCUUUUAAGAGUCUUUCAACAGGGCAUACAGCCCAUUCUCAAAUUUAGAUUUCUGUUUUUGUUAAGAACAGGGACUGUGGAACGAAUUUGCCUGACUUUGCCAUCAUUCUGCCAUUUCCUAGCUAUGUGGCCUCAGGCAAACUGAUUAAACUUACUGGCCUCAGAAUGGGGAAAAUUUCUGUAACUCAUGCCUGGAAUUACGUGAAGAUGAAAAGCAGGCAUGUCCAUGAGAUGCUUACAAGAGGGACCAGCGCCGUGUACCUAUUCUGUGCAUCCUACCCGUCCACUGUUCCUUCUCCGUGUUUCUUGAAGAAGCUGGAGUUUUCUUUCAGUCUUCUGCUUCUCCUGUUGCUUCCUCUAACUGAAGGAAGAAUCAGUCCAUGGCUUCUGCUCCAUGCUUUCUGCUCUUGGUUCAGGCUCCAACUUUCCCAUUAAUGGAAGAGAAUGGCUCUCCUGCUCCCAGCUGUAAUGAACUAAUUAAUUUUUCUAUCUCUCUAAUCAUUCUCUAUUCCCUGCCAAACCCUCUGGGUGUCUGUUUUGUUCUAUUGUUCAAGCCUGGACUUUGAGGGUAGGCUGGGGGCAUUGCUAGUCCCCACAAUUGCUAAUCCAGGCACUUGAGUCAUUAUCUUCUAUACAUCACACUUAACAACCAGAGGGAAGUGCAACCUCGUGGGCCUCGGAAAGGAAACCACCCACAGACUUGUGCGCCUUCUUCGCAGGCCAGGCUCUCCUUCCCCCAUGGUAAGAAGGUGAAGACUUGGAGAUUGGUGAGUCAGGCAAUCAAGGUCAAAUUGACAUACUCUAGAAGAUUACAUGCCGUGUGGAACAGUACUGGGCAGUGGACCCACUGGGACAGGGGCUCAGGAGGCUAUGGCAGUCCCGCAGGAGAUUCUGGAGUAACAGACAUCCCCAGGACCUCAGCGUUUCAUAGGAACGACAUGGCACACAUUGGUGGUGGCUGUCCUCCCAGGCAGUACCCCACAUCUUGUCUUCCGUGUUUGGGCACCCAGGCUGGAGUAGCAACCCAUCUCAGUCAAUGGCAAAGGAAGGUAUUCUGUAGAUGUCAGUAAAGGAGAUUACCCCGGAUAAUGUGGUGGGCCUCAUCCAAUCAGUUGAAGGUCACAGGAGCAAAAACUGAAGUUUCCCAGAGAAGAAAUUCUGCCUCAGGAUGGCAGCACCAUCUCCCGCCUGGGUUUCUAGCCUGCUGGCCUGUAGAUUCCAGACUUGCCAGCCCCCACAGCUCAGUGAGAGGGGAUCUAAUACCUGGGGAUAAAUCUCCUCUGUGAGAGUGAAUCGAGGCAGAAUCAAGAGAAGCAAGUGAGACCCGCUGUGAGUGGGUACCUCACAUCCCACACAUCUACCUCCACCUAUGAGGAGCCACAGGACCUGCCUGCCUGCCUGGCCGCUCUCCGCAAGCGCACAGAGCCUUUCUGUGCUUAGGCCACACGUGCCCAGCAUAUGGUGCAAAUAACCAUUUAUCGAGUGCACUGAACUGAGGCCUCAAGGCAAGCUUACCGCUGUGCAGGGUUAAUGACAAACCCAAGGUGGGCAGCCUGGAGCUAGCCACAGUCCAAGCCAAAAGCUCCAGUGACAUCUGCUCUGUGUCCAAAAGGUAGAAGGAAAGGAAAGAACACAGUGUACCAACUUAUCUCAAAUAAAAUAAUUACUUAUUACCAACAUCAAGUAUGAAAUGUGAAGCUAUUCUGUGCCAGUUACAGAAAAGCUAUAUUACUAUGUACAUUACAGAAUAAAUUACUAAGUUUUGACUAGAGUAUAAAAUUUAUUUGUCUUAAUUUCUAGUAAGUUUUAUUUGUUGAAAUAUAGACUCAUAACAUUCAAGACAGUGCUGGGUGUCGACUUCUGAACACAGCACACACUGGAUAGUGUAUGACACGCUGUGCAACACAACAGGGCAAAAAAUUGGAAACCUGCUUUUCUGCAGUAACUUUUCAUUUGCCCUAGACAAGGAACAUUGCACGGCUUAUUUUGACAAUGAUGCUCUUGUAUUCAUUGAAUAAGUCAUCUAAUCUGUAAGAAUCUACGUUUUAUUCCCAU
Molecule: long non-coding RNA, 5207 nt
Filed under: Homo sapiens (human)
Lineage: Eukaryota; Metazoa; Chordata; Mammalia; Primates; Hominidae
Description: HSALNT0083978
Source: RNAcentral